UACAGAGGUCUCAAGCGUUGUUCGGAUUCAUUGGGCGUAAAGGGCGCGUAGGCUGCGGGGCAAGUCGGGUGUGAAAUCUCAGAGCUCAACUCUGAAACUGCACUCGAUACUGCUUUGCUCGAGGACUGGAGAGGAGAUUGGAAUUCACGGUGUAGCAGUGAAAUGCGUAGAUAUCGUGAGGAACACCUGUGGCGAAAGCGGCGCACUGGACCACAACUGACGCUGAGGCGCGAAAGCUUGGGGAGCAAACAGG
RNAcentral lists this ribosomal RNA (253 nucleotides) under uncultured bacterium. RNAcentral's name for it is "partial 16S ribosomal RNA". It matches the Rfam family "Bacterial small subunit ribosomal RNA", at positions 524 to 776 of the family's 1533-position model. The record is from RNAcentral.